RNAcentral lists this ribosomal RNA (266 nucleotides) under uncultured bacterium. RNAcentral describes it as "partial 16S ribosomal RNA". It matches the Rfam family "Bacterial small subunit ribosomal RNA", at positions 29 to 293 of the family's 1533-position model. The record is from RNAcentral.
AACGAACGCUGGCGGCGUGCCUAACACAUGCAAGUCGGACGAGAAAGUUUCCUUCGGGAAGCGAGUAAAGUGGCGCACGGGUGAGUAACACGUAGACAACCUGCCUUCCAGUCCGGGACAACCUUUCGAAAGAAGGGCUAAUACCGGAUAACACUUUGGGCCGCAUGGCCUGGGGUUGAAAGAUUUAUCGCUGGAAGAGGGGUCUGCGGGACAUUAGCUAGUUGGCGGGGUAACGGCCCACCAAGGCGACGAUGUCUAGCGGGUCG